RNAcentral lists this ribosomal RNA (375 nucleotides) under uncultured bacterium. RNAcentral's name for it is "bacterial SSU rRNA". It matches the Rfam family "Bacterial small subunit ribosomal RNA", at positions 521 to 896 of the family's 1533-position model. The record is from RNAcentral.
UAAUACGUAGGGGGCGAGAGUUGUCCGGAUUUACUGGGUGUAAAGGGUGCUCAGGCGGAUUUACAAGUCAGAGGUGAAAUACCGGGGCUCAACUCCGGCACUGCCUUUGAUACUGUAAGUCUAGAGUUUGAAAGAGGGUAAUGGAAUAUCUGGUGUAGCAGUGAAAUGCGUAGAUAUCAGAUAGAACACCAAUGGCGAAGGCAGUUACCUGGUUCAACACUGACGCUAAAGCACGAAAGUGUGGGGAGCAAACAGGAUUAGAUACCCUGGUAGUCCACACCCUAAACGAUGAAUACUAGAUGUUGGUCUUUUUAAAGAUCAGUAUCCAAGCUAACGCAUUAAGUAUUCCACCUGGGAAGUACAAUCGCAAGGUUG